UUCUCUUUAGGGCAACGGAGGAAGGUGCCCUUCUAAUCUCUCGUUAUCUUGUGGCCGGCUUCCACUCGUCUUCCCUUCCCCCCAUUUCUGACCGGCGACGUUGACUUGUUAAAAGAAAUCGAAUUCCUCCAACUCGCUAUUUAGAGUCAUCUCGCCUUCCCCAAUUCCAUCGCCACUCUCUCUCGCUCUUGCUCUCGCUUCGAAUCGGAGAAGGAAAGAAGUGAGGGAACGAUGAAUUGGAUCAGCCGCAAGAUCCAUCUCUACAACGUGACGAUGGGCCUCUACAUGCUCGAUUGGUGGGAGCGCUAUCUCUUCAACAUAUUAAUCCUUAUUUUGCUCUGGUUCAUCUGCUACAAUGGAUCUCGUUUCGCAACUGAGUUCUAUGAAAGCUAUCUGAAGUCCACACUCUUGGCUGGUGGCCACUCUGCAAUGGAAGGAGUUCAUCCUAAUUGAUGAUCAGAAUAUGGAGAGAAAUAAUAAAGUGUGCAAUGAAGUGUAGACUGAUCAUAUUUAGUGGUUUGGAAACGUUUUUUUUUUUUAUUAAUCCCCUGUGCAACAUCGAAGCCCUGAGUUUAUCUGUAUAGUAGAUCACCAUGGGGUGUUUCUUGAAAUAUUGUUCUUUGGAGAACCUGUCUCUUUCUGUAUUAUUCGUGAUGACAUUAAGUAUAACUUCUCUCUUAAUGUAGUAGGUGGAGCUUGACUCCUCUCUUUUCUUUAAACAAAAAUUGUAUACUUUUUUUCAUGAAAUUAUUUCCAUACAACAUA
Non-coding RNA from Phoenix dactylifera (date palm), 765 nucleotides. Lineage: Eukaryota; Viridiplantae; Streptophyta; Magnoliopsida; Arecales; Arecaceae. The record is from RefSeq and is a predicted model, not a curated record.